CCGCAACGAGCGCAACCCCUGUGGUUAGUUACCAGCCCCUAAUGGUGGGGACUCUAGCCAGACUGCCUACGCAAGUAGUGAGGAAGGUGGGGACGACGUCAAGUCAUCAUGGCCCUUACGUCCAGGGCUGCACACGUGCUACAAUGGAUGGUACAGAAGGUCGCUACUCAGCAAUGAGGUGCAAAUCUUUAAAACCAUUCUCAGUUCGGAUCGGAGUCUGCAACUCGACUCCGUGAAGUUGGAAUCGCUAGUAAUCGCGUAUCAGCAAUGACGCGGUGAAUACGUUCCCGGGCCUUGUACACACCGCCCGUCAAGCGAUGGAAGUCAGGAGUACCUGAUGUCGCCCCGGUAAGGGGUGCCUAGGGUAAGCCUGGUAACUGGCGCUAAGUCGUAACAAGGUAGCCGUACCGGAAGGUGCGGCUGGAUCACCUCCUUU
RNAcentral lists this ribosomal RNA (436 nucleotides) under Pseudomonadales bacterium. Its description in RNAcentral is "bacterial SSU rRNA". It matches the Rfam family "Bacterial small subunit ribosomal RNA", at positions 1087 to 1533 of the family's 1533-position model. Lineage: Bacteria; Pseudomonadati; Pseudomonadota; Gammaproteobacteria; Pseudomonadales. The record is from RNAcentral.